ACUAACGAUGGCGGCGCCGGGAAGCGACAGGCUGCUGGGCUUAAGGCGGGAGUGACCGCUUAACCAGUGAGGGAAGCACUGAAGAGCGCCAGUCGACGUGGGUGCGACAACUCGCGGAGUCUUAGGAGCAAAACGUCUGGGGCCUGCGAGCCAGGACCCUUCUGAAGCCUUAGGUGUCUGUCGGCGACGUGUACGGUCACUGCAGCUCCGGAGCGCGGAACCCUCAGCCAGGAGGCGCGGCUGGUCGGUCCCAGGUCCCGGCCUCCGUAAUGAGAGCCCGGAACCACUCUUUGUGCCGCAGCUUCACAGAUUCCUAUAGGCAAUGGAAACUGAUCUCAAUUCCCAGGACAGAAAGGACCUGGACAAGUUUAUUAAAUUUUUUGCCCUCAAGACUGUCCAAGUGAUUGUCCAGGCUCGACUUGGUGAAAAGAUUUGCACUCGUUCAUCAUCUUCUCCAACGGGUUCAGAUUGGUUCAACUUAGCAAUCAAAGACAUCCCAGAGGUUACACAUGAAGCAAAGAAGGCACUGGCAGGGCAGCUGCCUGCGGUCGGGAGGUCCAUGUGUGUGGAGAUUUCACUUAAGACUUCUGAGGGAGAUUCCAUGGAGCUGGAAAUAUGGUGUCUUGAAAUGAAUGAAAAGUGUGAUAAAGAAAUCAAAGUUUCCUACACGGUGUACAACAGACUGUCAUUGCUGCUGAAGUCCCUUCUUGCUAUAACUAGGGUGACACCAGCCUAUAGGCUCUCCAGGAAACAAGGGCAUGAAUAUGUCAUAUUAUACAGGAUAUAUUUUGGAGAAGUUCAGCUGAGUGGCUUAGGAGAAGGCUUCCAGACAGUUCGUGUUGGGACAGUGGGCACCCCUGUGGGCACCAUCACUCUUUCUUGUGCUUACAGAAUUAACUUGGCAUUCAUGUCUACCAGGCAAUUUGAGAGGACCCCACCUAUCAUGGGGAUUAUUAUUGAUCACUUUGUGGACCGUCCCUAUCCCAGCUCCUCUCCCAUGCACCCCUGCAAUUACAGAACUGCUGGUGAGGACACUGGAGUAAUAUACCCAUCUGUAGAAGACUCUCAAGAAGUGUGUACCACCUCUUUUUCCACCUCCCCACCAUCCCAGGUAGGGGGAAGCAGGUUCUGGGGUGGUGGUAGUUUUUUGGUAUAUAUAUGGGCUUUAUGAAAUGGUGUCCAAAUUUAGCUACAAUCCCUUUUGAUAGUGGUGGUGAUUGUUUCAAAGGGGUUACUUUGAGGGGUAAGAGAGAGCCUUCUUGUCCAGAAGAUAGUAUUUCUAGUCUGUAAUUAUUCAUAACCUUCAAGAUUACAUUUAGCCCUUACCUUCCUGGUGACAUCUUAAAAUUCCCUAGAACAUCAGUCACAGAAUUCCAAAUGCAUUCUGACACCAGAGAUUUUGUCUAACUUACACUUGUUAACUUCAUAGCUACUUCUCUAUUGAGUGGUAAAUUUCAUUUCUAGUAAUGGAAGAGGCCCCAAAGAGCCAAAAAUUAUUUAGCAUAAAAUGACAGGGAGAAACCAGUAGUACAACUUUUCUUUAUAGUUGACACAGAUUUCUGCUUGUGUGUAUUCCUUAUCCAGACAUUUUUAACCAUUAACUUUUCCACUUCAGUCUUCAGUGGCAAACCCAGUUUCAUAAAACACAGGCUCCA
This 1655-nucleotide small RNA is filed under the name Pan troglodytes (chimpanzee). RNAcentral describes it as "retained intron". The record is from RNAcentral. Lineage: Eukaryota; Metazoa; Chordata; Mammalia; Primates; Hominidae.